ACAUUGAUGUACAGAGUAUUUUGUCCACGCCGGCCGGCCGUACGCCAUACGCGUUAUAUGACAACAGAGUAUACAUGCGCAGCAUAGCAGCGUCAACGAGUCGAGUAGAUCUACGGCCACAGUGCACAGCUCAAUCAAGACAAUAGCGAUCCAGUUCUACAAUUGACUUUAUUUGAUACAUUGCAAUUAAUUAGGCUCUGUGUAAAAUACAUGAACAUUCAACAUGCAUUGUGGAGAACAAGGUUUCCUUGACUUACUUCUCAGUACCAGAAAAUUAGACAGAGAUAAAGGACUUGAAGAAUUGCAAAUGAAGCUUCAGCGGAGCAGCGCCAGUGACCAACCCGAGAUCGCUGGCGUCGAGAGUGCGCUCUUGUCCGCCCUGAAGGAUUCUCAUUCCAGCUGGGAGGCUAAACAUGGCGCUUUAAUGGGAGCCAAGGUUCUUAGUGGGUUUGAUGGAACCUCAAAACCUUUUCUGAAAGAAAUGCAGAACUGUGCAAUGCAUUUCCUGAGUGAUAGUGAAGCCCGUGUUAGGAUUGCAGCAGGUGAAUUACUCGGAUCAUUGAGCAAAUGGCUCGGGUGUGAAGUUUAUCUGCAGUGUCAGGGUGCAAUACUCGAUGGAGUGAAGUCCAACCUUGAAAGAGCCCCUCUCAGUGAUUCCUCUCAUGAAGAACUAGUCCAAGUUGGUCAUCUGGUGGAGAAGCUUGGUGGAGGGGCAAGUCCAGAUCAUUCUCACAGCAGUAAUGCAGAUAAGAUAUUUCAUGACACUGCAGGAUGGAAGAAUCUGGAAACUUGGAUGAGAUGUUUGCAGUCUGUGAUAGAAGGAUGUGGUUCAAACUUUCUCCCUUUCAUUGAUCAGGAACUACUCGACCUCAUCUUUCAAUCUCUUACCCACACCAAUCGUUUUGUAAGAGAAACAGGAUACUAUGUCUGUGCCACUCUCGUCAGCUGCGGUACUUCUCAAGAUGAAGAGAUGGAGCUUAGUGAAGGAAAUGCCAUUAAUACCAUCCUAGUCCAUGGUGACCAGCUGGCUUAUCACUUUGCCACAGGAUUGGCUGACAAUUGGAGUCAGGUUCGUUUGGCAGCUUCUACUGCAACAAGACAGUUCCUGGUCAAUCUACCGAAUGCUGCGGCCCAUCAGAGGUUUUUUCCUGCAUUACUUCCUAGAAUGUGUCUCAACAGGUACUAUGUAGCAGAGGGUGUGAGAAUCUAUUCCCAGGAGACUUGGCAUUUGGUUACUGGCUUGCAUGGCAAAGAGCUGGUAGAGCAGCAUAUUGGUGAUGUUGUUGAGUAUUAUAUUGAAGCAAGCGAUGCAGACAACCAUGCUGUAAGAGAAGCCGCAUGUGCAUGUAUUGCAGAGCUUGGUGCAAAGAUAGGGCAAGAUGUUGUACGUGGCCAUGUUCCUAGACUGCUAGACACUCUUCUAGUAUGCUUCAAAGAUGAUAGCUGGCCAGUCAGAGAUGCUGCGUGUGUUGCAUGUGGGAACUUCAUCAAAUGCUUUCCAGAAGAAUCAAGACAGAGCAUGGAUGCGCUUUAUCCCCUCUUCUACGAGAACCUACAAGACAACAUUCCAUCUGUAAGACAAGGUGCAGCGGCAGCCCUGGCUAAUGUCACAAGAGCCUAUGGUGAAGCUGCUUCAAGCAUUCUUCUUGUAAAGGUUGCAGAAGGCAUGAAGGGUUUGCAGAAUCAACCCAAGACAUCUGAAAGGUAUAGCGGUCUUGAUAAAGGUCCAGCCACAUAUGGAUUGGUUAAACAGCUCAGAGAUAAUGAUAUGGAUCUACAUUCAAAUCAACAGAUGUAUUCAUGUGGAUCUUUAGCUCCUAAGAUGGGGCGUGGUAGGGAGGGAGGCUGUAUGGAUCACAAAUUCAGAAGACCAUCAGAACCAUGGGAAAAGUGUGAUGGAUAUAUUCAUCUGCUAUCAGAGAUGUCUUCGAUCGAAUCCCUGGCGGCUGAAGUAGCAUCCUUACUCCCCCUUGUAGCAGAAGCAAGCAGAAAGCAGGAUUACCCACAACAUGUCUGUCUUCUAGAAACAGUUUGUAAACAGCUCCCUGUAUUAGGAAGAAACCUGGGGAAAAGACACUUUAAGCCUCAUCUGGAAUCUUUCUUUGAUCCCAUAUUUGAAGCUUUGGGUUGUGACAAUGCAUUGACGAGUACAGCAGCUAACCAGUGCCUUGAUGCAUUGGGUAACUUUCUUGGUGUUAACAUCCUCAGAGGAAGAAUAGAACAGUACAAUCCACAUUACUUGUCUAAAAUGAGAAUGGGAUUUCCUGGAAGGCCCUGAUAUCAAAAGACAGCAACCCAGUCAAAACCUGUUCUGUGCAUCUAUACGUCAUGAUGAAAAAGAUGAUACAAGUGAUGCAAUCAAAGUUUUGUAGCUUGUACCCAAUCUGCUUGAUUUACCACUGUAGCAAUGGUGCCAAGAAAUCACUUGCUUUCACUUAAGAGACAUUGUAUUUGUAUUUUGUUACUCUUGCUGCUCUUGCUCAUAUUACAGAAUGAACAAAAUUAUAUUUGAAUUUUUAACCAAAUUUUCAGCAUGAAUGUAGAAUGAGUUAAUCUGCAAGGAGUCAAUAAUUGUGUGAUAUUGAAUGUUUCAGAAUGGGAUACCGGAUUAUGUUCCAUAAGAUUGGGCCAAUAUUGCAGGACGAGUGUGAUAAUGACCCUGACGAGUGGAAUAUUUCUGUUAUUCCAUGAAAUAAAGCCAUCCAAUAGUAUCGUUGAUCUACACCCCCCCCAAACAAAAUUGAAUGAGCAUAAUGUCACUUAUCAUACUCAUAUAAUCAUAUUUAUUAUAGAUUAUGCAACUUACAUGUACCGCUUUAUGACAUCAUUUAGUAUCAUUACGCAUUGCAUUCCAUUUAGUACAUUUGUAUAUUUAUGGAGACUAUGCAACACAAUACCAUAUUGAACAGCAAGUUUUGUACAUGAGCCUGUGGGAUAUAAUAAUAAUAAGUAUUUCUUAUACGCACUUUCUAAUGAAUCAUCACUCAAGUCAAUAUCUGUUAUAUUAGAUAGCCUUGAAUGAUGAAGAUAGAUCUAACAUUAAAUCUAAACUUAAAAUUAUGUCUACGUACGGUACUUGCAGUAGAUUAGUUGUGUAUGAUAUUCACAGUAACUGAUGGAACUGGUGAAAGUAAUGUUAGUCUAGCGCCUUGAAUGCCCAUUUUCUAAUCAAAAUCAAGUUGGUUUAGGCCUAACUUAUUAGAUCUAAUUUAGAGUCCAGGACCCAAGUCAGAUCGAGAAUGCAUGCUGAGCCAUGAUCAGGUGCAGAUUCUGAUCUAAUUGGGGAUGAGAUAAACAUUAUUGUCUAAGUUAGAUCUAUGUCAGACUUCUAUUGGUGGUGGUCCUGAUCUUUCUGUUGUCGAACCAGGUCCAGAACCAAAUCUAACUAAUGUUGGGCUAACACUUCUUACGUUGUCGUUAGCAAGAUUUAACGUUAGAUUUCUCUAACUUUUAGACUCUACCCUUGAUCUAUAACUAACACGGUAAAAAGUUAGACCUAACUUAGAUCUUGGCCUCGAUUCUAGGCCUAAAUCUAGAUCUACUUUAUCGUCCAAAAGCUGAUCUUAUUCCUCAUUGCUCAUCAGACAUCACCACAAAUCUUUGACGUUAGACCAAAUCCAAAACUAAAAGUUAAAAGUAAGCUAAGCUUCAGUCUCUAUCUGCAAAACUAACUGUUAAUUCAUUGGCUCCACUCAUAUCCAGAAAUUGUUAAAUAAAUCCCCAGAAUUUCAGAAAUGACAGUUAAUCCUGUCUACACAAAUAACUGAAGAAGGCCUUAAGUUCGUCGUUGUAUCGUAGGACUCACUUAAAUUCCGCGGUCCGGUACGUUUUGAAGAGUGUUGAUCGAUUGCAAACGAUCGCUACUUUAGUCCAACGUAUGUUAUAUCCGUGUAAUGUGUAACAUCUAAUCCACAAGAGGGCGCCAUACACGUAGAAAAAUAUAUUCAUGGACCAGCUGGUCAAUAUAUUCAUCGAAGGUGGACCGGCUGGGAAAAUACAUUGAUUUCGAUCAUAUCGAAUGACGCGCUAUGGAACGAUCGCGCUUGGCUAUCUAAUAUAUAUAUAUAUUUAGAAGUAUAUCUCCCUCAAAGCCAGAUAACUUUACAUAAUUAUUAUUUUAUUGAGUGUUUCAUACAACAUUAGUUUAAUUGCAUGCAGUGCCAAUAACGAUAAACUCUUAAUGUGUAGUUAGAACAUUUUCUCUGUAUCAGCAUACUAGCAGUGUCAUAUUAAGAAGCUUUAAUUGUUGAAUCAAGAUUUUUAGCUUAAAUAUAUAUGUAUAUAUAUAUAUAUUCGUGACCAAGUUUACAGAUGUCUGCAUUAUUGUAUCUGUCAGUAAGAUAUUUUGCAAAACAUUUGUAAUGGUCAGGAUAUAAUGACAAAACGAGGCUAAAAUAAAUUUGGAUUAUACAAAAUGGUGUAAGCUGCUGAAAUAGUGAUACUUGAUUGGUUGAAAGCACUUUGUCAUAGACAUUCUAGCAUUUGAUGUUGAUAAAAGGCUUGUGAAACAGGGCCCGUAGUCCCUUUUAGUGCUGAAGAGACUUUAAAAGAGGAUAUUAAUUGAAAUUGAUGAUAUGUUAUGUACAAUAUGACAUGUACUCUGUGGACAAUGCAAACCCAAAUCCAUGGACAUUUUCUAAAAUAUUGAAAAUUAUUGAAAAUAAACUUUGAUUUUGUAGAGUAGAAACUAAUAGUAACUCUGUCUGCAUCUGGCCCAGGUUAGUGGAUAUGGCACAGUUUGAUAUUGUUUUUUUUAUUUAUUAUUAGUUGUUUGUGUUUGUUUAUUGAUUAUAUCACUGCUUGUUAUGGCAAUGUAUGUGUGUUUGUGUUUACCAAUCAUACCAUAGCAUUAAUGUUUUGAUUUUCAGUAUAUGUAUGAUAUGUAUAUUGAAUAAACUUUACAUAUCUCUUUAUCAAAUAUCAUAGUGGGAAGGCAACAGCAUACAUGUCAAGUAAAUGUGCUUAUCUUGAAAUACAAAUUUGUGAAUAUGAACAGAUAUACCUAAUGUACUCACCCUUUGACAAAAUUGAAAUAUGAAAGUGCAUGGGGGAUCCAUGUGUUGUUGAGGCAUUAAACAUUGGUUAAUUGUUUGUCAGAUUUAUUGGAAAUUUGGAAUGUCAUAGUUCAUUCUCAUAAAGACGUGUUUUUUUCCAAUUUGAAAUCUACAGUUUAUUUUGUUAAUUCAAUUACAUAUUCGGCCAAUUGAAAGAUCCUUCACAUAAAUUUUUUAAUUGAUCAUUUGUGUACUAGUCCCCUUCCAACUUAUUUUAAUUUUGUAAAUGAAUCAUAUGAGCUGAACAUUAAACUCAAUUGGUUGUAUUGGAAAAAAAUGGGAUUAAUCAAGUGAGAAUAGACAAGUUUAAAUUUAUAGAUAAAAUGUACAAUUUGCACACAAUAGUCAAGGCACUUGAAAACAAGGGUGCUGGGGGUGAAGCACCCUCCCCCCUCCCCCAAGAUUUGUCGGGGGGCACUGUGUUUGUUAUAUACCAAAGGCACGCACCACUGGCUGUGAGGUUGGUAUGCAUAAAGUAGAAAUUUAACCAAAAUUGCCUUUACAUUUUGGAAUGAAACCCCCUUUUUUUUUGCUUGUCAACAUCCUGAAAUAGUAUUAGUUUUCUGAUAUGAACCAUGAUUCUUUUAUGGCCACAGGUCACAUUCAAUGCGUUCUGCUUCGUGACCAAGAUUUAUAGCAAGAGCAGUAUUCAGUGUAUUUAUGACUUUGAUUACAUUCUUGUAUGUUUAAAAUGUGUUUAUUGAUGAGAAUGUAAAAUAAAAUGAAUAAUACUCUCACA
Lytechinus pictus (painted urchin) is the source of this 5793-nucleotide RNA transcript. RefSeq lists it as uncharacterized. The transcript has 17 exons. Lineage: Eukaryota; Metazoa; Echinodermata; Echinoidea; Temnopleuroida; Toxopneustidae. The record is from RefSeq and is a predicted model, not a curated record.